Molecule: ribosomal RNA, 221 nt
Filed under: uncultured archaeon
Lineage: Archaea
Description: partial 16S ribosomal RNA
Rfam family: Archaeal small subunit ribosomal RNA
Source: RNAcentral
CGGUAAUACCAGCUCGCCGAGUGGUAGGGGUGAUUAUUGGGCUUAAAGCGUCCGUAGCCGGCCUGGCAAGUCUUCCGUUAAAUCCAGCAACCUAAUUGUUGGGCUGCGGGGGAUACUGUUAGGCUAGGGGGCGGGAGAGGCCGACGGUAUUCUCGGGGUAGGGGUGAAAUCUUAUAAUCCCGGGAGGACCACCAGUGGCGAAGGCUGUCGGCUAGAACGCG